UACAGAGGGUGCGAGCGUUGUCCGGAAUCACUGGGCGUAAAGGGCGCGUAGGUGGCGAUCCAAGUCCAUGGUGAAAGCUCGAUGCUCAACAUCGAGUCGGCCACGGAUACUGGGUUGCUCGAGCACUGUAGGGGCAGAUGGAAUUCCGGGUGUAGCGGUGGAAUGCGUAGAGAUCCGGAAGAACACCGGUGGCGAAGGCGGUCUGCUGGGCAGUUGCUGACACUGAGGCGCGACAGCGUGGGGAGCAAACAGG
RNAcentral lists this ribosomal RNA (253 nucleotides) under uncultured bacterium. RNAcentral describes it as "partial 16S ribosomal RNA". It matches the Rfam family "Bacterial small subunit ribosomal RNA", at positions 524 to 776 of the family's 1533-position model. The record is from RNAcentral.